ACCGAACGUUUUUCCAAACGCCAGGGUCAAGAAUCGAAUCGUCUUUUAAAAAUAUUUCUCGUCUCCUACCAACGUGUCAAUCGUUGAAACGCGUGAAAUUCAUGCGAAGAUAUAACUUCAAAAUGGACACGGUUAUCGUAUUUUUAAUAAGGCUGUCAAGUUGGCAACAACUCUGGAAAUGCCAAAGUGCCAAAUUUCAGUCGUUUCGGCAAUAAUAACGUUCCAGUCCCCGGUCGGUAGUCCACGUCUAUAAGCGGUUAACGAGUAAUUAGAUUCCAAAGCGCACGUCCGGCCCUCGUCUGGUUGGCGAGUCCACGGUGUGCACGUUAAGGAAUAAUUAUAAAGCAAUACGGUGAAUCGGCAAUCGACCACGAAGCUUACAGUAAACUAUAUGAUAUUCGAUAUAAUAUUUUAUAUUACGUACAAUACUUUUGCGAAUCGAU
RNAcentral lists this unclassified non-coding RNA (443 nucleotides) under Bombus terrestris (buff-tailed bumblebee). RNAcentral's name for it is "misc RNA ENSBTSG00005022959.1". Lineage: Eukaryota; Metazoa; Arthropoda; Insecta; Hymenoptera; Apidae. The record is from RNAcentral.